UUUCCGUAGGUGAACCUGCGGAAGGAUCAUUAAAUGAAAAGCUGGUUUACCAGUAUACGGCCCCUGGGUUUGUUUCUGACAAGCGCCAGGAUCAGUCGUCAUUUAUACCCAUGUUUUUUGCGUACUACUUGUUUCCUUGGUAGGCUUGCCUACCAUUAGGACCACACAAAACCUUUUGUAAUUGCAGUCAGCGUCAGAAAUAACUUAAUAGUUACAACUUUCAACAACGGAUCUCUUGGUUCUG
Molecule: unclassified non-coding RNA, 244 nt
Filed under: root metagenome
Description: partial contains small subunit ribosomal RNA, internal transcribed spacer 1, and 5.8S ribosomal RNA
Source: RNAcentral